GAUGAAGAACGCAGCGAAAUGCGAUAAUUAAUGUGAAUUGCAGAAUUCCGUGAAUCAUCGAGCCUUUGAACGCACAUUGCGCCUCAUGGCAUUCCGUGAGGCAUGCCCAUCUCAGCGUUAGAAAAUAUUCUCAAAUUUUAGUUUUGUGCUAAAAUUUGGAUCAUGUCAAAGAAGCUAUUACUAUUAUUGUGAUCGCUCUUUGGAAAUUGAUAGGUCUUUGAGUUGCUACUCAUAGAACGUGAUGAAUCUUUCUUCGUUCUAUUGUAAUUCACUCUGGUAGUCCUAAAACUUGUAUGCCUGUGGCAUAUCUUGUAAUUUGACCUGAGAUUGGGUAGGGAUACCCGCUGAACUUAAGCAUAUCAAUAAGCGGAUGA
Molecule: unclassified non-coding RNA, 374 nt
Filed under: soil metagenome
Description: partial contains internal transcribed spacer 2 and large subunit ribosomal RNA
Rfam family: 5.8S ribosomal RNA (bases 1-120)
Source: RNAcentral